GACGAACGCUGGCGGCGUGCUUAACACAUGCAAGUCGAGCGGUAAGGCCCUUUCGGGGGUACACGAGCAGCGAACGGGUGAGUAACACGUGGGUGACCUGCCCUCAGCUCUGGGAUAAGCCUGGGAAACCGGGUCUAAUACUGGAUAUGGCUCCAUGACGCAUGUUGUGGGGUGGAAAGCCUUGUGCGGCUGAGGAUGGGCCCGCGGCCUAUCAGCUUGUUGGUGGGGUGAUGGCCUACCAAGGCGACGACGGGUAGCCGGCCUGAGAGGGCGACCGGCCACACUGGGACUGAGACACGGCCCAGACUCCUACGGGAGGCAGCAGUGGGGAAUCUUGCGCAAUGGGCGAAAGCCUGACGCAGCGACGCCGCGUGAGGGAUGACGGCCUCGGUUGUAAC
Molecule: ribosomal RNA, 398 nt
Filed under: uncultured bacterium
Lineage: Bacteria
Description: bacterial SSU rRNA
Rfam family: Bacterial small subunit ribosomal RNA
Source: RNAcentral